Long non-coding RNA from Lineus longissimus, 668 nucleotides. RefSeq lists it as uncharacterized. Lineage: Eukaryota; Metazoa; Nemertea; Pilidiophora; Heteronemertea; Lineidae. The record is from RefSeq and is a predicted model, not a curated record. The transcript is spliced from 4 exons.
GAGGACCGGGCCAGGUGGAAGUGGUACAAGGGACACAGGACACAAGGGACACAGGACACACAAAGGAGGAUGCAAGCCUUGCCUUUAUGAAGAUGACUGGGAUGGUGGCUGUCCAGGAGACCCAACCGCUCAAGCACAAUCUACAAUUGGUAGGAGUCGCGACUCUCAAAGAAGAGGGCCUAAUCGACCUUCGUGGAGACCUUUCUGGCAUGGCAGAUGUUGGAUGACAGAGAAUUCCAACACGUCGUGCACAGAUGAGAGAGACGAUCGAGAGUCAGGUAGAUUCAGUGGAUUGAACGGUGGCGCUGAGGGAUAUCGAUGGUGCAGCAGUGACCUUCGCUAAGAUCGGAAGGGAACGUUUCGCUGCAUGUACGGAGUGGACAUGAUACAUCAUCUGUCAUUCUCAUAAACUUUAAUGACAAUCUAACUCCGAAGGGACUCUCUGAACUCGGGGCGAGCUCCAGACACGGAGCCUUGCUCAUGGACUAAUACGUCACGAUAUCCUGCAGCCACCAUCAAGACAGCCUAUCUCAUACUCAUAAUUGGAAGGAUGCCAUCACUUACGCAUGGUGAUGCAUCCCACAGGAGGAUGAAGUCGACCAAGGAUGUCCUCUCCGGUUGUCAUCAAGGAACAAUUUGAUGACGGUUUCAUUGUAAUUUUGUCACCG